GAUGAACGCUGGCGGCGUGCCUAAUACAUGCAAGUCGAGCGAACAGACGAGGAGCUUGCUCCUCUGACGUUAGCGGCGGACGGGUGAGUAACACGUGGAUAACCUACCUAUAAGACUGGGAUAACUUCGGGAAACCGGAGCUAAUACCGGAUAAUAUAUUGAACCGCAUGGUUCAAUAGUGAAAGACGGUUUUGCUGUCACAUAUAGAUGGAUCCGCGCCGCAUUAGCUAGUUGGUAAGGUAACGGCUUACCAAGGCAACGAUGCGUAGCCGACCUGAGAGGGUGAUCGGCCACACUGGAACUGAGACACGGUCCAGACUCCUACGGGAGGCAGCAGUAGGGAAUCUUCCGCAAUGGGCGAAAGCCUGACGGAGCAACGCCGCGUGAGUGAUGAAGGUCUUCGGAUCGUAAAACUCUGUUAUUAGGGAAGAACGAAUGUGUAAGUAACUAUGCACGUCUUGACGGUACCUAAUCAGAAAGCCACGGCUAACUACGUG
This 497-nucleotide ribosomal RNA is filed under the name uncultured bacterium. Its description in RNAcentral is "partial 16S ribosomal RNA". It matches the Rfam family "Bacterial small subunit ribosomal RNA", at positions 28 to 507 of the family's 1533-position model. The record is from RNAcentral.